UUCUUCAAGAAAACUAUUCAACUACAAAACCAAAGAACCCAUCCAGAAAUCAUCCAUCUUCUACCCUAAUUUUGAAUUCUUGAAGCUCUUGAAGUGUUCUUGGUUCACUUAAAUUCGAAAUCAAGGACGCUAUUGCGAAUCGCACUCAUCAACAUCAACCCGCAAUGCCCGAGCUACAAACUUUCUAUUGGAAUGGUUAGUGAAUCAGUAAGACACCAGCAUGAUUUAAGUUGUUGCUUUUGUUACAAGAUGUAAACUUAGAACGCUUAAUUUUUAUGGUUGGUACUCCUAUUUACCGUUUGUGAUGAGGCCUUAGCCUGCCACUCCUCGUGUUUCCAAUUUAACGGGGUGUGACAGUAAUGACCACCUUUGCACCCCUCUUUAACUCUAAUAUCAGGGGCCUCGAUAUCUUUUAUUAAGUUCUAUUCUUUCCUUUUUCUCUCUCU
Lactuca sativa (garden lettuce) is the source of this 446-nucleotide non-coding RNA. The record is from RefSeq and is a predicted model, not a curated record. NCBI's taxonomy places the organism in Eukaryota, Viridiplantae, Streptophyta, Magnoliopsida, Asterales, Asteraceae.